GUGUGGCCAAGUGGUUAAGGCGAUGGACUAGAUAUUCAUUGAGAUAAUCUCGCGUAGGUUCGUAUCCUACCGAAUACG
RNAcentral lists this transfer RNA (78 nucleotides) under Caerostris darwini. Its description in RNAcentral is "tRNA-Ser". It matches the Rfam family "tRNA". From Rfam's summary of the family: Transfer RNA (tRNA) molecules are approximately 80 nucleotides in length. Their secondary structure includes four short double-helical elements and three loops (D, anti-codon, and T loops). Lineage: Eukaryota; Metazoa; Arthropoda; Arachnida; Araneae; Araneidae. The record is from RNAcentral.